Molecule: long non-coding RNA, 1024 nt
Filed under: Felis catus (domestic cat)
Lineage: Eukaryota; Metazoa; Chordata; Mammalia; Carnivora; Felidae
Description: lncRNA (ENSFCAG00000047275.1)
Source: RNAcentral
GCACUUUUUGCCGGGCUGCGCGCCCAGGUCUGUGCGCCAUUUUCAGGGAGGCCGACUUGAGAGAGCUCAUUUUUGAGACCCUCCGGACGGGGUGAUUGUGGAGCUCUUCUUGUCUCUUGGCUGCUCAGGACAAGCCUCUUGCUUAGAAACCUGUCACCUAUCCAUCCCGAAUGAUCGGCCUCUUUCUUGGACCUCGCAGUCUCUUCUGAUAGGCGUCUUUGGGAGCCAUUUUCAGAUUUCACACCAGGAACUACCAAAUUUGUGAACUAAAAGAAAGGUGCCCAAAGUCUAGGAAAGCAGCCUGUUAUGAGUUUCUUCCCACAGUCCUAUUUCCAAACACAAUCAUAUUCUGAGGUACUUGGAGUUAGAGGACUUCAACAUAUUAAUUUGUCAGUCAGUCUGUAUGAGAUGGUAACUCCUGACGGUUGAAACUGUGACUUGUUUGCAGUUAUGUCUCCAGUACCAAUAGAGCAGUCAACAAAUAACAGGUACUCACUAUAAAUGUGCUGAACUAAUGAAUGGUUUGCUAAAUAAGUAUUUGUUCACUGUUUUUAAUGUAGGCUUUUUUUUCUUCCUAUGUAUCCACCAAAUAUGGUAAUCCCUAUUACAGUGUGCACAGAAAAUAAUGUGACAAAUUUUGCCAAGGCCAAAUAAUACUUUAUAAAAUUAAGUCAUUAAGUUGCUGUGGCAAGCCAGAAUGCAUAUGGAUCAAAUUCUAUAUUGGGAUACAUAGAUUAUUUUCUUUACAACUGAUAUCAUAAAAGUUUCUGGCACACUGGAAACUGCAAGGGAAAACAGGAAGUUAGUGUGAGUAAUGCAGUCUGUGUGGCACAACAGUACCUAAUAGGGGCAACAAAUUUAUUUCAGUAAUACAUGAAGAAAACAUCUGUAAAAAUUAAGAUUAUAUAGAAAUACAAAAUAUAAAACAAGUUCCUGUAUAAUGUUGAGCUUAAGUAUUGAUAGUGGAAAUCUCUCUCUCAUUCCUGAUCAUGAGGAUAGUUUUCAAUACUCACCAUUUAGUAUU